RNAcentral lists this transfer RNA (541 nucleotides) under uncultured cyanobacterium. RNAcentral describes it as "partial 16S-23S ribosomal RNA intergenic spacer". The stretch from base 212 to 284 matches the Rfam family "tRNA". The record is from RNAcentral. Lineage: Bacteria; Bacillati; Cyanobacteriota.
CAGGGAGACAACAAAAUGUUUAAUAUUAUUAUUUUGUCACCUUAGGUCGAUCGGUAUCUCACGUUUUUAAUUUAUUAAAAAUUUCAUUUCCUAAGUUUUUCUAGGUCACACCCAUUAUUUUUCCUGGGCCAUUAGCUCAGGUGGUUAGAGCGCACCCCUGAUAAGGGUGAGGUCCCUGGUUCAAGUCCAGGAUGGCCCAUAUCUCUAUGUUGGGGGUAUAGCUCAGUUGGUAGAGCGCCUGCUUUGCAAGCAGGAUGUCAGCGGUUCGAGUCCGCUUACCUCCACUGAUUACCACCUCUUCCAUAACAGGUAGAAAGGAAAUGUUUUGAGUAGUGAUCAAAUUCUGAAAGAAUCUAGCUUCCUAAUGAAAUCAUUAAGAUGCUGGACUCAUUGAAUUAAUUUCAUUGUUUUCAGAGAACCUUGACAACUGCAUAGAUUAUUUUUAAAGACAAUAAGCAUCUUUAAUGAUGCAGAUUUAUUAUUUGUGCGAAUGCAUUAAUAACAAUUCUAUUAAGCUGAUGCUUCAAUUUUUGAAGUUAUU